UGCUGGAAGUGCCUUUGACUA
This 21-nucleotide ribosomal RNA is filed under the name Platymantis sp. SR2627. Its description in RNAcentral is "partial 12S ribosomal RNA". The record is from RNAcentral. Lineage: Eukaryota; Metazoa; Chordata; Amphibia; Anura; Ceratobatrachidae.